Molecule: ribosomal RNA, 555 nt
Filed under: uncultured Fusarium
Lineage: Eukaryota; Fungi; Ascomycota; Sordariomycetes; Hypocreales; Nectriaceae
Description: eukaryotic LSU rRNA
Rfam family: 5.8S ribosomal RNA (bases 169-322)
Source: RNAcentral
CCAGCGGAGGGAUCAUUACCGAGUUAUACAACUCAUCAACCCUGUGAACAUACCUAAAACGUUGCUUCGGCGGGAACAGACGGCCCUGUAACUACGGGCCGCCCCCGCCAGAGGACCCCUAACUCUGUUUUUAUAAUGUUUUUCUGAGUAAACAAGCAAAUAAAUUAAAACUUUCAACAACGGAUCUCUUGGCUCUGGCAUCGAUGAAGAACGCAGCGAAAUGCGAUAAGUAAUGUGAAUUGCAGAAUUCAGUGAAUCACCGAAUCUUUGAGCGCACAUUGCGCCCGCCAGUAUUCUGGCGGGCAUGCCUGUUCGAGCGUCAUUACAACCCUCAGGCCCCCGGGCCUGGCGUUGGGGAUCGGCGGAAGCCCCCUGUGGGCACACGCCGUCCCUCAAAUACAGUGGCGGUCCCGCCGCAGCUUCCAUUGCGUAGUAGCUAACACCUCGCAACUGGAGAGCGGCGCGGCCAUGCCGUAAAACACCCAACUUCUGAAUGUUGACCUCGAAUCAGGUAGGAAUACCCGCUGAACUUAAGCAUAUCAAUAAGCGGAGGAA